AGUACGACCCACUGCUUAGUGUAUGCACGUGCUUCGGUGCGAGCAAUAUACAUUAAACUAUAGAGACCGCUGUUUCUUCUUUAAACCAGAGGAAGGAUACGGCAAUAACAGGUCUGUGAUGCCCUCAGAUGUUCCGGGCUGCACACGUGCUACAAUGAUCAUUGCACUGUGCAUCUAACCCAAUGUGCGUGGACGCCGCAUGCAUGUACUCCUUGUGGGUACACGCAUUGCUGAGCGACCACGCCGAACCUACUUCGAAAGUAAAAUUUCUCUGUGGGUAAUCCAUUAGAAGUAAUGACUCGCAUAGACCAUGGCACACCAAAUGUACGCGCAGGUCUACCCGGCUCGCCUUUGUGUGAGUGCAGUGCGUAGCUUGUUGUUUCGUACGUGCCACUCCGUAUUAAUUCGUACGUGGGGAUAGAUCAUUGUUUAAUUGUUGGUCUCGGUCUUAACUAGGAAUGCCUUGUACGGGUCUCUGGUUCAACAUACCACCCGGAAUACGUCCCUGCCCUUUGUACACACCGCCCGUCGCUCUUACCGAUGGAUUAUGCUAUGAAUCUAUAGGACUGCCAAAGUUGCCUCGGCUGCUUAGUGGAAAUAUAUAUGAAUAGCGGAUCUAAAGA
RNAcentral lists this ribosomal RNA (623 nucleotides) under Ammonia sp. T2B. RNAcentral describes it as "SSU rRNA". It matches the Rfam family "Eukaryotic small subunit ribosomal RNA", at positions 1358 to 1779 of the family's 1831-position model. The record is from RNAcentral. Lineage: Eukaryota; Foraminifera; Rotaliida; Rotaliidae.